ACGUUGAUAUACGCGAUGACGCAGUAAGAGAAGAGGAGCAGGGGAAACGAAGUUGCGGCACCAUUUUUAAAGAUCAUCAGUGCCUGAUAUUUAUAACUUUGUUUUCCUACAAAUUUGAUAAUUUAAUUUAUUUUAUAGCCGAAUUUUUGUUAAAGACAAAUAUUUUUUUAAGUGAUUUUAUUGAAAAAAAGGACAUUCAAUAAAUUAAGAUGCAUUAGAUAAAUAAAGAAGAGUUGCCAAAAAGAAAAAAAGAUGAAGAUAAUUUUGCAAAUUAAACACCUGAAAUUAAAAGAUAGCUUAGUUGAAGGAUUCCUAUUCCUACUAAUUUAUCUUUUUCCUUAAUUUGUGUUAUUAGGUUUUCCUUACACAGAACAGGAGUUGACUUAAACUCUACCUCCACAACCACGGCCUUUUUCUACACAUCCAUUGGCAACUCGUCUUCCUCCAUUUCCACGGAACCAACACCGGCAACUUGGUCUCCACCAUCAGCACCAACAUGAGCCAUUUUUCAAGACGGGCACCAAUACCUCUAACACGAGCAGGAGCAGGGACCCUUCCAACACCGGCCACUUGGUCUCCAACAUCAGCACCAACAUGGAUCAUUUCAACUUCAUCCUGGGCUUCACCAGCAGCACCAAGGCCACCAUCAGCAGCAAUAUUUGCCAUUUCAACGGCUACUUGGGCUUCAGCAACCGCAUCAAGGCCACCAUCAGCAGCAGCACGGGGCAUUUCAAUAUGGGGAGCAGUGAUGUUCGGCCUGGAUAAAGCGAUCUUGCUGUAAUGCUAUCAGCUCAUCGGCGGGCUUAUGACGGAGGAGGGAGUCCAAACAUCCGGCGGCGGCCGAUCAUGCCUUUCCUUCCGGAUGUGACAUCACCGACAGCAGAGUGACAACGAUGUACUUCUGAAUUAAGUCUCUAAUUUUGUUUCCGGCAAGAGUAAUGAUUCCUUUUAGUUCCUGCAGCGUCUCUUCUUCGAUGUUCCCAUAAUCCAUCGUCGUUAACAAAUUUUUAUUUUUUUUUCUUCGGGGAGAAGCGGGAAAUAUUUGGGAAUCGCUCCUAUUUGAAAUAGUUUUAACGCCAUCUUCAUGUGCGCUUUAACUUUUGCCUCCAUUUUCGUUGCUGCCUUCUCCUCCUCCACGAAAACUGAAAUCAGUUUUGGAAAUUUAUUAUUUAAAUUAAUUAAUUAGUUAUGUAAUUAAUUAAUUAAUUCCUUACCACUUCCAUUGGUGCGUACUUCAAGUAUGCAAGUAUAACAUCUAGAAUGUUUUUUUGGAGUAAUGUCGCAUAUCAGAUUCGGGAAAAUUUCUGCCAGUUCAAAGACUACCACUUGUGGAUGGUAGUUGCCAAUUUUAGAUAAUCCCUUUGCAAUCAUUUUUUGGAAAUCCACAAAAUUUGCUCCCGGUAGGAAACUCCUAAAAAUUAUUCAAAUAAAAAAUGAUUAUUUGAAUAAUUUGCAAAAAAGAACUUUAGUCUUACCAUGUCAUAUAUCCUUUUACACAAAGUUUGUUUAUGUAAUGUAUUUCAAACUAUUGAUCCUUUCCCCUACAUCGCUUUCCCUUUUCAGCAACCUCAGCUUCCCCACCAGUUAAUCAAUCUAUCCAAUCUAUAUCUGACUCUGCCGAGUCAGACCCAUCACUCACCUUAUUAUCACCCAUACGUAUUCCUAUUACCCUCCUGUCAAACCUUUCGGGGUACCUUUUCCCUUCAUCCAAUUUUCCCCAAGCACCGUGCAAUUUGGAGACAUCUCCAAUUACACCGGCUACGCUACUGGUAUAUAACCCAGCAGCCACGACAUCCUCGCAGUCAGUAGCAUCAGUAGUAGCAGAGUAGUAGCAUCGACAGCAGCAGCAACAAUCGCAGAGCAGAAACCAGCAGCCACCGGAAGCAGAGUCCAGCCGACAGUCCGUUAGCCAGCCAAGCCGCCGGUCGUCGACCACUCCGUGGUCUCCUCCCCUUGCUGUUCGGUAGCAGCUACUCUCCCUCUAUAUUCUCCCUUGCUAUUCUCCCUCUCUAUUCUCCCUUACUAAUCUCCCUCUCUAUUCUCCCUUGCUAUUCUCCCUCUCUAUUCUCCCUCACUACUCUCCCUUUCCAUCCUCCCUCUCUAUUCUCCCACUCCAUUCUUCCUGUCAGUGAAACGCUUGUGUAAGUGUGUGUAUGUGUUCAGUGUCAAUAAAAGGUGAAACCCUCUGA
Long non-coding RNA from Daphnia pulex (common water flea), 2189 nucleotides. RefSeq lists it as uncharacterized. The record is from RefSeq and is a predicted model, not a curated record. NCBI's taxonomy places the organism in Eukaryota, Metazoa, Arthropoda, Branchiopoda, Diplostraca, Daphniidae. The transcript has 3 exons.